UAAUAACAACAUUAAAAGAAAAAGGAAAUUACGGAGAAGAAGAAUCGCUUCUUGAUCUCAACUCUCAAUUUCAAUGCAAUCUAUGAAUCUCACUUCUCAAUGGGGCGAAGAAGGAUCUGUCUCCAUUCUUCAUUCGCAUUUACUCAGUGGUAAUUAAUUCUUCACUCUCACUCGUCUUAUUUCCUGCAGAUUUCUUCAUUUUCCUUCACUGUUCAUUUUUAAGGUUCCAUUGUAUUUCCAUUGAGUUUGCAACCGUUCAAUUGCUCGAUCCUUAUUAGUUUUUGGACUUCAAUGACCAUAGAAGAAAAUUAUCACAAACUCUUCCUUAUUUUGUCUUUGUUUUUUUAUUUGUUUAUGCAUGUUUCCUUUGCUGAUUUAUUUACUUAUUUCUUUCUCUGAUGUCCCAAUUUAUCCUAUGAUAUUUCAAUUGAUGUAUUACGUUCAUGUUAUGUUUAUGGAUGCUUGCUCUACUGUCCUAAUUUACAAUUAAAUUUUACUCCGUCCUUAGCUAUCGAUUCACAGUGGUGUUUCAUUAAUAUGUACUUGUCUUAUUUUAUAUUUCAUUAACUAUUAUUUCAACAAUUGCCGCAGGUGUCAAAUAAUGAAUUUGUAUGAGCUUCAGUCCAAGGUAAUUAUCUUUUUCAUUUCAUGUUAUUUGAUCUCUAGGUUUAUUUUAUCGUUUCAUCUAAAUUAUUUGGAAUGCAUCAGCUGGUUUAUUCUUAAUUUUGGAACGAAUUUGAUGCAGCGGAUGGUUGCGUAGGAUGAGUGGAGUAUCUCUCUAGGUUGCGUAGGAUGAGUGGAGUAUCUCUCUAGGGUAACAACUUGAGCUAUAAGUAUCUAUUUAGGGUGUAUAAUAUACAUUUCGAAGUUCGCGACGAGGGGAAACUAAUCUAAUACUGUAGCGCCGCAUUAGUCUCGUGGUUCGAUUGAAAAUUAUAUUUAUUUCAUAUUAUUUUACAAGUUUAAG
Molecule: long non-coding RNA, 967 nt
Filed under: Citrus maxima (pomelo)
Lineage: Eukaryota; Viridiplantae; Streptophyta; Magnoliopsida; Sapindales; Rutaceae
Description: long non-coding RNA (CMAX_LNC001259)
Source: RNAcentral